RNAcentral lists this ribosomal RNA (402 nucleotides) under uncultured bacterium. RNAcentral describes it as "bacterial SSU rRNA". It matches the Rfam family "Bacterial small subunit ribosomal RNA", at positions 355 to 774 of the family's 1533-position model. The record is from RNAcentral.
UGAGGAAUAUUGCACAAUGGGGGAAACCCUGAUGCAGCAACGCCGCGUGGAGGAUGACGCAUUUCGGUGUGUAAACUCCUUUUAUGAGUCAAGAAAAUGACGGUAGCUCAUGAAUAAGCACCGGCUAACUCCGUGCCAGCAGCCGCGGUAAUACGGAGGGUGCAAGCGUUACUCGGAAUCACUGGGCGUAAAGGACACGUAGGCGGGUUGGAAAGUCAGAUGUGAAAUCCUACAGCUUAACUGUAGAACUGCAUUUGAAACUUCCAACCUAGAGUAUGGGAGGGGGAGAUGGAAUUAGUGGUGUAGGGGUAAAAUCCGUAGAUAUCACUAGGAAUACCUAAAGCGAAGGCGAUCUCCUGGAACAUUACUGACGCUAAGGUGUGAAAGCGUGGGGAGCAAACG